Molecule: long non-coding RNA, 2633 nt
Organism: Scophthalmus maximus (turbot)
Lineage: Eukaryota; Metazoa; Chordata; Actinopteri; Pleuronectiformes; Scophthalmidae
Source: Ensembl
UGCUGUGCUUUGAACUUUAAGAGAAGUGAACUAACAGGACAAUUGUCAGUUAGUUUUUUUUCGACAGGCCCAAAAGUGAAGUGAAAGUGAAGUGGCCCACCAGGAAUCCGCCCGAAUCUCCCGAUUACCCACCCCGACCCUGGAGCUAGCAAUGCGGGCAGCCGAGCUGAAGUAAAUGCAGCCAUCACAAGUUAGUGACACCAAUGGAAAAAUCCUCACUUUGGUUUGCUUGGGAGGCAGUUCUCCGUCUGCAGAACUGUGUGAUAGUGAAUGUGACUUGAAUAAAAUAAAAUAAAUGAUAAAUGAUGGAGUUGAUGCUGAUUCAGGAAGACAGAGACCGUGGAUGUCUUAAAGCUGCUGUCGACGUAAGAGCGGGGCUGGAUCGAUUGAGGGGCUCGUCCACUGUGCGCCCACCUACACCUGAAACCAUUCACCGAUUGCAUGGACCAGCUGUCAAUCAUGAUGCAGGCUUCAGGCACUUCCACACUGGCUUCAUUAUCUGGAUCCAGUGACUACGUCCAUUUAUAUCUAUAUAAAGUAUUUAACUCUGAUCUCCAUGUGGAAAUCUAGUUUUUGCUGCUGUAAAAUGUUUUGUUUUCCCUGGAGGUUAAAGGUGACAUAUUAUUCUCAUAUUUAGGUUUAUACUUUUUAAUUUGAGUUACCACUUGAAAAGGUUUACAUACUCUUAUAUUCUGAAAAGAUAUCAGUGUUUUCAUACUGCCCAUUCCUGCAGAUCCCCUUUUCACGGCAAUUUUUUUUGUCUAAAACGCCUGAAUUUCUAUCAGGCCCGCCUCCCGAUAAAAACUCCAGGCUGCUCUAAUUGCCCAGCUGGACCAGUCUGUUGUGAUUGGUCAACCGAUUUCAAAAUGUGUAGGAAAUGUCAUGCCCCCAAAAGAGUCACAGUGGGAGAAAAUAUGAACCAGUUGUUCAGAGCCAGGCUGUCGGUUUUGAUUUGACAUUUUCAACAUGGAAGAGGCAGCGCUAGCUAGUCAUGUUAAAGGAGCUGAGCUGCUGCUGUGCGUGAAUUAAAUCUCAACCCCAUCACAGUUUUUUCAGUUUUUUUUGACCAAUGCAAUACUCGCCGCCACCCAAACUAGGCAUUUUCGGGUGCUGUGUCCAGAAACGAAGCCCUAACUGCAGCGGUACUCUGGGAGCUAAAGGUGGCUAACCCUCACUAUUUUUUCAAAUCAUGUGAAGUCAUAAGCCAGCUAUGGGACAUGCCAUGGUGAAGACUAAAUAUAUCGGCUCAGAGUUUUGGGUCAUUCAACAGCUCAUGAUAUCGCUGAGAAAAUGAAGGACUUGCUUUCAGAGAUUGGUAAAUUGUUUUUUAUAUAUAUACACAAACGUUUCAGAGAGUGUAUGGUCUUUAAAAAUUUGCCUCAAAGGCAUGAAAAAGGUAUGGAAAACUCAUGAAAAUUCAUUGGUAAAAAUGUGUAUGAACCCUGUACAUAGGGCCUAUAUGAAACAAACUCAGUGCUCCAGCCUACAUGACUUACAUUAGCUAUUGGUCUUGGGUCAGGUUCAGACAUUAAAACAGAACCUCUGUCACAUUCAGGUCGGUCUUGGUUACCACACUGAACACUAGUAGAAACAGCAACAUUUUUGAGGAAAUAUGGCCCUUGAAAUUUAGAUUAAAAAAAAUUGACAUUUGACACAUGAAUUUUUAUAGUUGAAGUAAUGUCACAUGUCAUAUUCUGUCUGGAACAAAUCAAAAUAUUUGAGAGUGCAUUAAAAUGAAGACUGAAUUUGCUCAAUGCCUCUGGCAUUGCUUGUUUUAAAUGCACACAGAUUGCUCCUUGGGCAAAAUCGUAUUCAAUAAUUUAAAAGGUUUCAAGUUAACAAACCAGGUUGGCUUUGAUUAACAAAAAAAAAAAUCCAACUAGAUGCAUCCAUUUGUGCAGAUAAUGCUUCCUUUGGUAUUUGAGGAUGGUUAAAAAUAAAGCUUCUUUUUUUUCAUUCUUCACCAAGAAAGGUCUCCACUUCCUCCUCUUAUAUAAGAGUGGGUGUUGGGUCUGCUUGCUUGACCAUGAAUGGGCCUUUGUGUACACCAGUCAGUCUGUGGCAUUGAUUUAACAGAUGCUUGCGGCUGGAAUGGUGACUGCAAAUGGAUCAAUGAUAUUUUCUUAAAUCUUUUUAUCGAAUGGAUUAGAUGACAGCCAUAUGGCAUAUGGCAAUGUUGAAAUCACUAUCUCCCUUUUAGGAUAUUUCUCUUUGCAACAAAAGGCUUUCUUUGUCUCACUUGCUUUGUUGUCAAGCCAGGGGCUUUGGUUUUCAUUUAGCAUCCUUAUUAUGUGUAACGCAGCAGAAUGAAGGGAAAGGAGGCGAAAAAAUGCAUGAGAAAGUCCUGAACCUCUUCCAGUCUGGCUUUCACAGUAAUUGAAGCAUUUUCAGUUUGACCCAAGCUUGUUCAGAACUCAUCUGAUAACCUUCAGGAGGAAGCCUAACCUUCUGUGAGUGUUCAAGUGGCUGAACAGAAAAGGGAUUUUGGACCAGUAAUGGGGUUAUGAAUGCAUUGAAGGGGCAGACUUUUUUUCUUCUUUUAAUGUUUGUUUGUGUAAUUGGUGAAUUAAGUGGUGAUUUCCCCCAAGAUUGUGUUCUUGUCCGAGCAGAAAAGCAACUAAAACCAUUUAAAC